Molecule: ribosomal RNA, 450 nt
Filed under: Prisomera spinicollis
Lineage: Eukaryota; Metazoa; Arthropoda; Insecta; Phasmatodea; Lonchodidae
Description: partial 28S ribosomal RNA
Source: RNAcentral
AAUCCUGAAUUCGAAUGGGGUGAUUCAACCCUUGUCUGGUGUUACCACACAGUAUCUGACCACCCAGAUGUUGCAGGGGCGCCCGCGAUGAUUCAUUUCAUUUGCGGUGUCGUUUCCGGCUAUCACUGGUGAUGGCCAGGAGUAAUCUGGCAUCAGAAGGGCGCAUUUCAUCCCUAGUAGAAACGUCGCGACCCGUUGGGUGCCGGUCAAAGGCCUGGGAUGGCAGACCAUGUGUCCUGUGGGUGUUUUCACAGGCAUGUGGACUCUUGGUGACCCGGCCGGCUGCCCGACGGUCUGACCAGAGGAGCUGAUCCACUAAAUGGAAAACACUAUGGUUGUGAAGUGUCUGGCCCAGUUACGAUGUAGGCGGGGAAAUGGUCUAAACCGGGGGUGCUAGUACCUAGUACAGCCCUGGCUCUGCUUGUCUUCGAUUCUGGUGACCUCAGACCG